CAGCCGCCACGGUAAUACGUAGGUGGCAAGCGUUGUCCGGAAUUAUUGGGCGUAAAGCGUGCGCAGGCGGUUCGUUAAGACAGAUGUGAAAUCCCCGGGCUUAACCUGGGAACUGCAUUUGUGACUGGCGGGCUAGAGUAUGGCAGAGGGGGGUAGAAUUCCACGUGUAGCAGUGAAAUGCGUAGAGAUGUGGAGGAAUACCGAUGGCGAAGGCAGCCCCCUGGGCCAAUACUGACGCUCAUGCACGAAAGCGUGGGGAGCAAACGGGAUUAGAGACCCCAGUAGUCCCUGUCUCUUAUAC
RNAcentral lists this ribosomal RNA (301 nucleotides) under uncultured bacterium. RNAcentral's name for it is "partial 16S ribosomal RNA". It matches the Rfam family "Bacterial small subunit ribosomal RNA", at positions 509 to 807 of the family's 1533-position model. The record is from RNAcentral.